CUUAUACACUCCCAGUUGUUGUCUCAGAGGAGGGAGGCCCAGUCUGGGUCCCGUUGGACCCAAAGGGGGUAGCAAGGAUGAUUGAGGCAGUAGAAAAGAAAGGGCUGAAAUCGCCAUUGACGAUGAAUGCCCUUGAGGCCCUCACAGCAUCGGGCCCAAUGCUGCCUUAUGAUAUUGAAAAUUUAAUGCGCAUGGUGUUGAAACCAGUGCAGUAUACGCUCUGGAGAGAGGAGUGGCAUACCAAAUUAAAACAAAUGCUGAUUACGGCGCAGGGUGAUCAAAGAAACCCCAUAUAUGGGUCCGAUAUACAGAGAUUAACGGGCAAUGCACCAGGUCUGCUGACCCCUCAAGCACAAGUUUGUCAACUUAGACCAGGAUAGUUGAUAGCGACUACGGACGCUGCAAUAGACGCGUUCCGAAAGCUUGCAAGGAGUGCUGAGCCCACUACUCCGUGGACAGAGAUCGCGCAAGGCCCCACAGAGCCGUUUCAGGAGUUUGCAGACAGACUAAUUAAGGCAGUGGAAGGCUCGGAUCUGCCCAGAGCAGUUCACGGUCCCGUCAUCCUGGAUUGCUUGUAUCAGAAGUCCAGUGAAGGGGUGCAGGGGAUUUUGCGAGUGGCGCCGGGGAGGCUCCAAACCCCUGGUGAGGCCAUCAAGUAGGUCCUAGAUAAGCAAAAGGCCUGUCCGUCUGUGGCAGGGGAGGUAGCUGCGGCGGUAGCAGGAGUGAUGAUGGCCUGUAGGGAGGCGGACCAUCAUAGUGCGGACCGACAGUUAGGACCUUGCUUUAAAUGUGGUCAGGCGGGCCACAUUAGGGCCCAGUGCAGAAUGGGUGCGGGUGGAAGCGUAACAUGUCAGCAGUGCGGGCGGAGGGGUCAUACAGCACCACAAUGCAGGGCCCGUAGGCCUCCACGCCAGGGAAAUAACAACGGGAGACAGUCCGAGCACGGUGACUUCAUUUUUCGACCUAUGCAGGCCCCUGACCUAAGUUUACCCAUGGCGGCGCUGUCUCUAAGUACCCAUGAGCGCCCUCUGGUGAAAGCCACUAUUUCUUGCACCAACCUCCCGCUGGAUUUUCAAGGCCCUCGAUCUAUCUUUGUCACUGCCCUCAUAGAUUCCGGCGCCGACGUUACUGUGGUCGCGGAAACAGAAUGGCCAUCCUCGUGGCCCGCGGAGGCCUCGCAGUCUAUUUUGGGGGUUGGAGGGGCGACCCCCUCACGCCGGUCUACCAAUGAGGUACAAGCGGUUGUGAUUAACAGGGAUGGCUCCUUAGAGAAACCGGCGUUGCUUACACCAUUGGUGGCGCGUGUCCCCGGAACUCUUCUGGGGCGGGAUUUCUUGCAACAGAUAGGCAUUCCACAGUAUCCUCUGAACACCUUCAAGGGAUACGUCACUAAUGUUACUGCUUGCGAUAACGACGCCGAUUUAGCCAGCCAAACAGCAUGCUUGAUACAGGCUCUAAAUACAACCCUCCCUUGGGACCCCCAAGAAUUGGAUAUUUUAGGGUCCCAGAUGAUCAAGAACGGAACAACACGUACGUGUGUUACCUUUGGUUCGGUGUGCUAUAAAGAGAACAAUCGCAGUAGAGUCUGUCACAAUUUUGAUGGGAAUUUUAAUGGGACUGGUGGGGCAGAAGCAGAAUUGCGUGACUUCAUAGCAAAAUGGAAAAGUGAUGACCUUCUUAUAAGACCCUAUGUCAACCAAUCAUGGACGAUGCCGCAGCACAGGCCUUAAAGGAGAUCGAACGAUUGGCAUGUUGGUCGGUUAAGCAAGCAAAUUUAACAUCAUUAAUAUUGAAUGCGAUGCUGGAGGAUACGAGCAGCAUCCGGCACGCAGUGUUGCAGAAUUGAGCAGCCAUCGAUUUCUUACUCCUGGCGCAGGGACACAGGUGUCAAGACGUGGAAGGGAUGUGUUGCUUCAAUCUCAGCGAUCACAGUGAGUCCAUUCACAAGGCGCUCCAAGCCAUGAAGGAACAUACAGAGAAGAUACGGGUGGAAGAUGAUCCCAUAAGGGACUGGUUUACGCGCACGUUUGGUGAUCUAGGAAGGUGGCUCGCGAAAGGUGUUAAGACGCUACUGUUUGCCUUGCUUGUCAUAGCCUGUCUAUUAGCUAUCAUUCCAUGUAUAAUCAAGUGCUUUCAGGAUUGUCUAUCGAGAACAAUGAAUCAGUUUAUGGAUGAACACAUAAAAUAUCAUAGAAUUAGGGAGCAGUUGUAGGUUCCGAACGCGAUGUGACGGGAGCUAUCGGCAUAGGGAGGGGGAGAUGUUGUAUGCGUAGCGAGGGAAACGAGGUGUGACGUGUGCAGGUUCCCUAUGCCACCUGUGUGUUAUGCC
RNAcentral lists this long non-coding RNA (2329 nucleotides) under Gallus gallus (chicken). Its description in RNAcentral is "lncRNA (ENSGALG00010023484.1)". The record is from RNAcentral. Lineage: Eukaryota; Metazoa; Chordata; Aves; Galliformes; Phasianidae.